This 363-nucleotide ribosomal RNA is filed under the name uncultured bacterium. Its description in RNAcentral is "bacterial SSU rRNA". It matches the Rfam family "Bacterial small subunit ribosomal RNA", at positions 29 to 417 of the family's 1533-position model. The record is from RNAcentral.
AACGAACGCUGGCGGCAGGCUUAACACAUGCAAGUCGAACGGUUGUAGCAAUACAGCAGUGGCAGACGGGUGAGUAACACGUGGGAACCUUCCUAGGGGUACGGAACAACUCAGGGAAACUUGAGCUAAUACCGUAUACGUCCGUGAGGAGAAAGAUUUAUCGCCCUUAGACGGGCCCGCGUAGGAUUAGGUAGUUGGUGGGGUAAUGGCCUACCAAGCCUACGAUCCUUAGCUGAUCUGAGAGGANGAUCAGCCACACUGGGACUGAGACACGGCCCAGACUCCUACGGGAGGCAGCAGUGGGGAAUUUUGGACAAUGGGGGCAACCCUGAUCCAGCCAUGCCGCGUGAGUGAAGAAGGCCU